GGACAUAACAUAAAAGUGGAGGCUAUUGUAACUGAAGAGAACUGGAAAGUUCCACCGUAGAAGGUAAUAGUCCUGUAAGUGAAACGAGAAGACCACGAGUUAUGAUCCAGAGUACCACGAGACACGUGAAACCUUGUGGGAAGCAGGGAGGACCACCUCCCAAGGCUAAAUACUACCUGAUGACCGAUAGUGAAGCAGUACCGUGAGGGAAAGGUGAAAAGAACCCCGGGAGGGGAGUGAAAUAGAACCUGAAACCGUGUGCCUACAACCGCUCAGAGCCCCUUAUGAGGGUGAUGAGGUGCUUUUUGUAGAACGAGCCAACGAGUUACGGUAUGUAGCAAGGUUAAGUACUUAAGGUACGGAGCCGAAGGGAAACCGAGUCUGAAUAGGGCGACUAGUUGCAUGCCGUAGACCCGAAACCGGGUGACCUAUCCAUGGCCAGGUUGAAGCGAGGGUAAAACCUCGUGGAGGACCGAACCACGUUGCUGUUGAAAAAGCAUGGGAUGAGCUGUGGAUAGCGGAGAAAUUCCAAUCGAACCCGGAGAUAGCUGGUUCUCUCCGAAAUAGCUUUAGGGCUAGCGUCGAGUAUGAGUAGUGGAGGUAGAGCACUGAAUGGGCUAGGGGGCAUAGCGCUUACCGAACCUUAUCAAACUCCGAAUGCCACAUACUUUGAGCUCGGCAGUCAGACUACGAAUGAUAAGAUCCGUGGUCAAAAGGGAAACAGCCCAGAUCGUCAGCUAAGGUCCCAAAGUGUAAGUUAAGUGGGAAAGGAUGUGAGAUUUCUAAGACAACUAGGAUGUUGGCUUAGAAGCAGCCAUUCAUUAAAAGAGUGCGUAAUAGCUCACUAGUCGAGAGAUCUUGCGCCGAAAAUGUAACGGGGCUAAACUUACCACCGAAGCUACGGGCUUGAACUUAGUUCAAGCGGUAGGAGAGCGUCGUAACCGGGCUGAAGUCGUACCGUAAGGAGCGGUGGACUGGUUACGAGUGAGAAUGUUGGCAUCAGUAGCGAGAUGUGGGUGAGAAUCCCACAGGCCGAAAACCUAAGGUUUCCUCAGGAAGGUUCGUCCGCUGAGGGUUAGUCGGGACCUAAGCCGAGGCCGAAAGGCGUAGGUGAUGGACAACUGGUUGAUAUUCCAGUACCACUACCAUCGUUAUUAUCGAUGGCGUGACGCAGGAGGAUAGUGUGUGCUAGCUAUUGGAUGCUAGUCUAAGCGUUUAGGCAGUGAGAGUAGGCAAAUCCGCUCUCAUAAUGCUGAGGCGUGAUGGGGAAGGUUCUACGGAACCGAAGUACAUGAUUCCACGCUGCCAAGAAAAGCGUCUAGAGAGAGAAGUAGUGCCCGUACCGCAAACCGACACAGGUAGGUGAGGAGAGAAUCCUAAGGCCGGCGGAAGAAUUACAGUUAAGGAACUCGGCAAAUUGACCCCGUAAGUUCGCGAGAAGGGGUGCCUACGAGAGUAGGCCGCAGAGAAUAGGCCCAAGCAACUGUUUAGCAAAAACACAGGUCUCUGCUAAAGCGUAAGCUGAUGUAUAGGGGCUGACGCCUGCCCGGUGCUGGAAGGUUAAGGGGAACACUUAGCGCAAGCGAAGGUGUGAACUUAAGCCCCAGUAAACGGCGGCCGUAACUAUAACGGUCCUAAGGUAGCGAAAUUCCUUGUCAGGUAAGUUCUGACCCGCACGAAUGGCGUAAUGACUUGGGCACUGUCUCAACUGUAAAUCCGGCGAAGUUGUAGUGCGAGUGAAGAUGCUCGCUACCCGCGAUUGGACGGAAAGACCCCGUAGAGCUUUACUGUAGCUUAGCAUUGAGUUUUGGUAUUGUCUGUACAGGAUAGGUGGGAGACUAGGAAACCAGGGCGUCAGCCUUGGUGGAGUCAACCUUGGGAUACCACCCUGACAGUACUGAAAUUCUAACUGGCGGCCAUGAAUCUGGUCACAGGACAUUGUUAGGUGGGCAGUUUGACUGGGGCGGUCGCCUCCUAAAAAGUAACGGAGGCGCCCAAAGGUUCCCUCAGAACGGUCGGAAAUCGUUCGAAGAGUGCAAAGGCAGAAGGGAGCCUGACUGCGACACCCACAAGUGGAGCAGGGACGAAAGUCGGGCUUAGUGAUCCGGUGGUACCUCGUGGGAGGGCCAUCGCUCAACGGAUAAAAGCUACCUCGGGGAUAACAGGCUGAUCUCCCCCAAGAGUCCACAUCGACGGGGAGGUUUGGCACCUCGAUGUCGGCUCGUCGCAUCCUGGGGCUGAAGUAGGUCCCAAGGGUUGGGCUGUUCGCCCAUUAAAGCGGCACGCGAGCUGGGUUCAGAACGUCGUGAGACAGUUCGGUCCCUAUCCGUCGCGGGCGUAGGAAAUUUGAGAGGAGCUGUCCUUAGUACGAGAGGACCGGGAUGGACUGACCUCUGGUGUACCAGUUGUUCCGCCAGGAGCACAGCUGGGUAGCUAAGUCGGGAAUGGAUAAACGCUGAAAGCAUCUAAGCGUGAAGCCAACCUCAAGAUGAGAUUUCCCAUAGCGUAAGCUAGUAAGAUCCCUUGAAGAACACAAGGUUGAUAGGUCGGGGGUGUAAGCAUGGUAACAUGUUCAGCUGACCGAUACUAAUAGAUCGAGGGCUUGACCAAAU
This 2612-nucleotide ribosomal RNA is filed under the name Clostridium perfringens. RNAcentral's name for it is "partial 23S ribosomal RNA". It matches the Rfam family "Bacterial large subunit ribosomal RNA", at positions 303 to 2925 of the family's 2925-position model. The record is from RNAcentral. Lineage: Bacteria; Bacillati; Bacillota; Clostridia; Eubacteriales; Clostridiaceae.